AUUCCAGCUCCAGUAGCGUAUAUUAAAGUUGUUGCAGUUAAAAAGCUCGUAGUUGGAUUUCGGAACCGGCCGAUUGGUCCGUCCUCUGGAUCGUGUACUGAUCGGUCUGUUCUUCUUCGCGAAGACCGCGUGUGCCCUUAACUGGGUGGGCGCGGGAUUCGCGACGUUUACUUUGAAAAAAUUAGAGUGUUCAAAGCAGGCAGUCGCUUGGAUAUCUCAGCAUGGAAUAAUAGAAUAGGACUUUGGUCUUAUUUUGUUGGUUUCCGAGACCGAAGUAAUGAUUAAUAGGGACAGUUGGGGGCAUUCGUAUUUAACUGUCAGAGGUGAAAUUCUUGGAUUUUGGAAAGAUGAACUACUGCGAAGGCAUUUACCAAGGAUGUUUUCAUCA
This 388-nucleotide ribosomal RNA is filed under the name Ctenophora sp. (in: diatoms). RNAcentral describes it as "Ctenophora sp. (in: Bacillariophyta) partial small subunit ribosomal RNA". It matches the Rfam family "Eukaryotic small subunit ribosomal RNA", at positions 582 to 975 of the family's 1831-position model. Lineage: Eukaryota; Bacillariophyta; Fragilariophyceae; Fragilariales; Fragilariaceae. The record is from RNAcentral.